UACGAAGGGGGCUAGCGUUGCUCGGAAUCACUGGGCGCAAAGCGCACGUAGGCGGCUUCUUAAGUCAGGGGUGAAAUCCUGGAGCUCAACUCCAGAACUGCCUUUGAUACUGAGGAUCUUGAGUUCGGGAGAGGUGAGUGGAACUGCGAGUGUAGAGGUGAAAUUCGUAGAUAUUCGCAAGAACACCAGUGGCGAAGGCGGCUCACUGGCCCGAUACUGACGCUGAGGCACGAAAGCGUGGGGAGCAAACAGG
This 253-nucleotide ribosomal RNA is filed under the name uncultured bacterium. RNAcentral's name for it is "partial 16S ribosomal RNA". It matches the Rfam family "Bacterial small subunit ribosomal RNA", at positions 524 to 776 of the family's 1533-position model. The record is from RNAcentral.